This 64-nucleotide transfer RNA is filed under the name bovine gut metagenome. It matches the Rfam family "tRNA", at positions 5 to 66 of the family's 71-position model. From Rfam's summary of the family: Transfer RNA (tRNA) molecules are approximately 80 nucleotides in length. Their secondary structure includes four short double-helical elements and three loops (D, anti-codon, and T loops). The record is from RNAcentral.
GGUGUAGCCAAGUGGUAAGGCACCAGAUUCUGGCUCUGGCAUGCGCGGGUUCGAAUCCUCCCAC